This 253-nucleotide ribosomal RNA is filed under the name uncultured bacterium. RNAcentral's name for it is "partial 16S ribosomal RNA". It matches the Rfam family "Bacterial small subunit ribosomal RNA", at positions 524 to 776 of the family's 1533-position model. The record is from RNAcentral.
UACGUAGGGGGCGAGCGUUGUCCGGAAUUAUUGGGCGUAAAGAGCGUGUAGGCGGUUCGGUAAGUCUGCCGUGAAAACCUGGGGCUCAACCCCGGGCGUGCGGUGGAUACUGCCGGGCUAGAGGGUGGUAGAGGCGAGUGGAAUUCCCGGUGUAGCGGUGAAAUGCGUAGAUAUCUGGAGGAACACCGGUGGCGAAGGCGGCAUCCUGGACCGACACUGACGCUGAGGAGCGAAAGCCAGGGGAGCAAACGGG